Molecule: ribosomal RNA, 253 nt
Filed under: uncultured bacterium
Lineage: Bacteria
Description: partial 16S ribosomal RNA
Rfam family: Bacterial small subunit ribosomal RNA
Source: RNAcentral
UACAGAGGGGGCGAGCGUUGUUCGGAAUUACUGGGCGUAAAGGGCGCGUAGGCGGCCCGCUAAGUCGAACGUGAAAUCCCCAGGCUCAACCUGGGAACUGCGUCCGAUACUGGCAGGCUUGAAUCCGGGAGAGGGAUGUGGGAUUCCAGGUGUAGCGGUGAAAUGCGUAGAUAUCUGGAGGAACACCGGUGGCGAAGGCGGCAUCCUGGACCGGUAUUGACGCUGAGGCGCGAAAGCUAGGGGAGCAAACGGG